ACUCGAGGACGACCUCGAGGCGAUCGUCGACUCGACGCCGGACGACCCGC
This 50-nucleotide non-coding RNA is filed under the name Halostagnicola sp. A56. RNAcentral's name for it is "Guanidine-II riboswitch aptamer (mini-ykkC)". It matches the Rfam family "Guanidine-II riboswitch aptamer (mini-ykkC)". Rfam says of the family: Simpler in structure and has fewer highly conserved nucleotide positions than the ykkC-yxkD leader. Despite this each of its two stem-loop structures directly bind free guanidine. Therefore, mini-ykkC RNA motif represents a distinct class of guanidine-sensing RNAs. The record is from Rfam by way of RNAcentral. Lineage: Archaea; Methanobacteriati; Methanobacteriota; Halobacteria; Halobacteriales; Natrialbaceae. RNAcentral also lists the same sequence under 1 other name.